UUGGCAUUAAAGAACGAUCAC
This 21-nucleotide non-coding RNA is filed under the name Caenorhabditis elegans. The record is from RNAcentral. Lineage: Eukaryota; Metazoa; Nematoda; Chromadorea; Rhabditida; Rhabditidae.